AGUCUAGUGUUAUAUGAAACUUC
Molecule: non-coding RNA, 23 nt
Filed under: Arabidopsis thaliana (thale cress)
Lineage: Eukaryota; Viridiplantae; Streptophyta; Magnoliopsida; Brassicales; Brassicaceae
Source: RNAcentral